Molecule: ribosomal RNA, 468 nt
Filed under: uncultured bacterium
Lineage: Bacteria
Description: partial 16S ribosomal RNA
Rfam family: Bacterial small subunit ribosomal RNA
Source: RNAcentral
GACGAACGCUGGCGGCGUGCUUAAUACAUGCAAGUCGAACGGAAAGGCCCUACUUUUGUGGGGUUCUCGAGUGGCGAACGGGUGAGUAACACGUGAGUAACCCGCCCUUAACUUUGUGAUAACUUCACGAAACUGGGGCUAUUACCGCGUAGGAUCUCCUGCUGCAUGGUGGUGGUUGGUAAGUUUCGGCGGUUGGGGCUAGACUCGCGGCUUAUCAGCUUGUUGGGGGGGUAGUGGCUUACCAAGGCUUUGACGGGUAGCCGGCCUGAGAGGGUGACCGGCGACAUUGGGACUGAGAUACGGCCCAGACUCGUACGGGAGGCAGCAGUGGGGAAUCUUGCACAAUGGGCGGAAGCCUGAUGCAGCAACGCCGCGAGCGGGAUGACGGCUUUCGGGUUGUAAACAGAUUUCGCCGGUGACGAAGAGAGAGUGACGGUAAUGGGUAAAGAAGCACCGGCUAACUACGUG